RNAcentral lists this ribosomal RNA (279 nucleotides) under uncultured Flavobacteriaceae bacterium. RNAcentral describes it as "partial 23S ribosomal RNA". It matches the Rfam family "Bacterial large subunit ribosomal RNA", at positions 1 to 293 of the family's 2925-position model. Lineage: Bacteria; Pseudomonadati; Bacteroidota; Flavobacteriia; Flavobacteriales; Flavobacteriaceae. The record is from RNAcentral.
AAUAGGCUAAUUAAGAGCGUAAGGGGAAUGCCUUGGCUCUCAGAGGCGAUGAAGGACGUGAUAAGCUGCGAUAAGCUUUGGGGAGUGGCACAAACACUUUGAUCCGAAGAUUUCCGAAUGGGGCAACCCGGCAUAUUGAAGAUAUGUCACACUGUAAAGUGAGCAAACCUGGUGAACUGAAACAUCUAAGUAACCAGAGGAAUAGAAAACAAAAGUGAUUCCGCUAGUAGUGGCGAGCGAACGUGGAACAGCCCAAACCUAUGUUGUUACGGCAAUAUA